UACGUAGGGGGCAAGCGUUGUUCGGAGUUAUUGGGCGUAAAGCGCGCGCAGGCGGCUUCGCGCGCCCGACGUGAAAGCCCCCGGCUUAACCGAGGAGAGUCGUUGGGGACGGCGGAGCUUGAGGGCGGGAGAGGUCGGUGGAAUUCCCGGUGUAGUGGUGAAAUGCGUAGAGAUCGGGAGGAACACCUGUGGCGAAGGCGGCCGACUGGGCCGACCCUGACGCUGAGGCGCGAAGGCGUGGGGAGCGAACGGG
This 253-nucleotide ribosomal RNA is filed under the name uncultured bacterium. Its description in RNAcentral is "partial 16S ribosomal RNA". It matches the Rfam family "Bacterial small subunit ribosomal RNA", at positions 524 to 776 of the family's 1533-position model. The record is from RNAcentral.